Molecule: ribosomal RNA, 497 nt
Filed under: uncultured bacterium
Lineage: Bacteria
Description: partial 16S ribosomal RNA
Rfam family: Bacterial small subunit ribosomal RNA
Source: RNAcentral
GAUGAACGCUGGCGGCGUGCCUAAUACAUGCAAGUCGAGCGAACGGACGAGAAGCUUGCUUCUCUGAUGUUAGCGGCGGACGGGUGAGUAAAACGUGGAUAACCUACCUAUAAGACUGGGAUAAAUUCGGGAAACCGGAGCUAAUACCGGAUAAUAUUUUGAACCGCAUGGUUCAAAAGUGAAAGACGGUCUUGCUGUCACUUAUAGAUGGAUCCGUGCUGCAUUAGCUAGUUGGUAAGGUAACGGCUUACCAAGGCAACGAUGCAUAGCCGACCUGAGAGGGUGAUCAGCCACACUGCAACUGAGACACGGUCCAGACUCCUACGGAAGGCAGCAGUAGGGAAUCUUCCGCAAUGGGCGAAAGCCUGGCGGAGCAACGCCGCGGGAGUGAUGAAGGACUUCGGAUCGUAAAACUCUGUUAUUAGGGAAGAACAUAUGUGUAAGUAACUGUGCACAUCUUGACGGUACCUAAUCAGAAAGCCACGGCUAACUACGUG